CCUACGGGUGGCAGCAGUGGGGAAUAUUGCACAAUGGGGGAAACCCUGAUGCAGCGACGCCGCGUGAGUGAAGAAGUAUCUCGGUAUGUAAAGCUCUAUCAGCAGGGAAGAAAAUGACGGUACCUGAUUAAGAAGCCCCGGCUAACUACGUGCCAGCAGCCGCGGUAAUACGUAGGGGGCAAGCGUUAUCCGGAUUUACUGGGUGUAACGGGAGCGUAGACGGCAGCACAAGUCUGGAGUGAAAUGCCGGGGCUUAACCCCGGAACUGCUUUGGAAACUGUGCAGCUAGAGUGUAGGAGGGGUAAGCGGAAUUCCGAGUGUAGCGGUGAAAUGCGUAGAUAUUAGGAGGAACACCAGUGGCGAAGGCGGCUUACUGGACUGUAACUGACGUUGAGGCUCGAAAGCGUGGGGAGCAAACAGGAUUAGAUACCCCAGUAGUC
Molecule: ribosomal RNA, 440 nt
Filed under: uncultured bacterium
Lineage: Bacteria
Description: partial 16S ribosomal RNA
Rfam family: Bacterial small subunit ribosomal RNA
Source: RNAcentral